Long non-coding RNA from Cotesia glomerata, 395 nucleotides. RefSeq lists it as uncharacterized. The record is from RefSeq and is a predicted model, not a curated record. The transcript has 3 exons. Lineage: Eukaryota; Metazoa; Arthropoda; Insecta; Hymenoptera; Braconidae.
AGCAGCAUUUCUUUUUAUUGUAAUUGAUUUAUUAAAUUAAAAAAAAAAUAACAGUUGUCAGUUAACUUCAAUAUCAUUUUCGUUCUCACAUUUUUAUUUGCUGAUACCGGAAAAUAUUAAGCACGGACGUGGACAAGAAAGAUGUUAUCUAUUUGUAUAGAUUGAAUAUAAAUCCCGAGAACUACUGGUUGGAGCAGUUGGAAAUCGGCCACUAUACACGCUUGGUUGAUGGAUGAAGUUUUUAUGACAGCACUCUAGAAGUUAUAGAUGUAACACACACUUACUACCACGGCAGGAUCAUUUUAUUUGCUUUAUCAUCAGGCGGCAACAUUUGCCGCCAUAUUUAAAUUUUAUCCGCAAGAUGGCGUUACUGCGCGGGAAAAUUUAAAUUGACA